CCUGACAAACCAAACGGGAAUUAAUGAAGGGCAGAUGGGAGAAGGAUACUCCUCUUCCCUUGUUAGAAACCAUGACUAGUAUUUUUACCUCAUAGCUAAGCUUUUUUUUUUUUUUGAAUUAUAAAACUAUAAGGAUAAAAUUUUGAGGGGGAAAAACGUCUUCCUGGGGUAUGAGCCUUAGCUACCUAGGAGCGUCUGGGAAGGUGGGCGGAGUCUGGAGGGGGCGGUGCUUUUGGCUACUCAUUGGCCUGAGGGUUUGUCGAUCAAGCAUGCCUAGCAAAUGAGGUGAGAGCUAAAGGGCACACUGGGAACGAAAUUAACGGGAGGUCUGACGGCUAGGGGAGGGGGGGGUUCAAUAUCUUAGUAGUGAAGAGAUCUCGGGGUCUCGCACUGCGCCAUUCGGCUGAGGCACGCCUCGGUCCGCAGCAGCUGCAGCCGGGAGAGCCCUUACCUCUGCCGCUCUUGCUCAGGCCUCCAGUGUCGCUGCCGCCUCCGCGGCUUCAGCCCAGCCCCACCCCGCCCUGCACUCCUGCUGCCUUCGCCGCUGCCCCGACCUCCACCGCUGCCACCCAAGCAUCCGGCUGAGGCCGGCGGAUCCCUUCUCCAGUCCCCAGCCGGACCAAAGAGGUCGUCUCCUCCGCCGCCGCCGCCGCGGGCAUCCCCGCCUUCUCAUUUGUGAGUUUUUCGCUUCCUGAAUUGGGCUCAGAGCCUCCGGGGCCUUUAUUCGUAAACUUUUUUUUUUUUGUUGCUGUUGUUGUUUUCCUUUAACCUGGCAGACUCAAAUAAGGAGGGGCUUUUCCUGAGUAGCAGCAGUGGCUGCAAUAGAGGUCGUGGAAGAGAUUUGUCGAGCAAAGUGAAGAAAGGGUAACGGGAUGAAUCAGAUGAUACAAAUGCCCCCAUUCUGAGGGCCUAAAGAGAAGGGCGUCCUUGCCCUCCGAAAGCUUCAGGGGGUCAAGUGAUAAGGUAGAUGCUGAAUUUGAAAAGAUACUGCAGGCUUUUGCAAAAAGGAUAAAUCCUCUUGUUUAGGUGUUUGUGCCCACCAGCCCAAGGAUUAGGACAACCUGCUGUAUAAUAACUUCAACAAACGUGUGCAUUACUUCAAAUUAUGUUUUGUAUUUUUUGUGGAGUAUAUUUUUUAAAUUUAAAAAACGAAAUAUAUAAGUAUCAAAACAGCGUUUAGAAGUAUAGUUUUCAAAAGAUGGAAACAAAAAAAUUCUCUAAAGCAUCUGUAGUUUAGUCCUUAUGAUAUUUUUGUCAUAUAACCUUUAGAGAGUAACUGGAAAAACUAUCAGAACUUUUCAAUAAAGCUAAUAGUUACUUGGGGGAAAAAACGUCC
Molecule: long non-coding RNA, 1336 nt
Filed under: Sus scrofa (pig)
Lineage: Eukaryota; Metazoa; Chordata; Mammalia; Artiodactyla; Suidae
Description: lncRNA (ENSSSCG00070022915.1)
Source: RNAcentral